This 253-nucleotide ribosomal RNA is filed under the name uncultured bacterium. RNAcentral describes it as "partial 16S ribosomal RNA". It matches the Rfam family "Bacterial small subunit ribosomal RNA", at positions 524 to 776 of the family's 1533-position model. The record is from RNAcentral.
UACAGAGGGUGCAAGCGUUGUUCGGAAUUACUGGGCGUAAAGCGCGCGCAGGCGGUUCUCCAAGUCAGUGGUGAAAGCCCGGAGCUCAACUCCGGAACUGCCAUUGAAACUGUUGAACUUGAGGACGAGAGAGGUGAGUGGAAUUCCCAGUGUAGAGGUGAAAUUCGUAGAUAUUGGGAAGAACACCGGUGGCGAAGGCGGGUCUCUGGGCCGAUACUGACGCUGAGGAGCGAAAGCGUGGGGAGCGAACAGG